AGCUACAGACAUACUACCCUUCAUUCACCCAGUCUUAUAUGAUUUCUGAAGCUAAGCAGAAACCAAGCUUGGGCCUGCUUAGUCCAUGGAUGGGAGAAGGCUCAGGCACAUAAUCU
RNAcentral lists this ribosomal RNA (116 nucleotides) under Mus pahari (shrew mouse). Its description in RNAcentral is "rRNA (MGP_PahariEiJ_G0032723.1)". The record is from RNAcentral. Lineage: Eukaryota; Metazoa; Chordata; Mammalia; Rodentia; Muridae.